AGGGACCUACUGGACAAAAAACUGGAGGGCAUUUUUAAGAAUAACGGGAUAGGGGAAUAUGCCCGAUUCCGUCUUUUUUCUAUUUUGGGCAGCCUAUGGGGCUCCCGUUCUUGCUUUUUAUCGAUUGGAAAUUUGGGACGGUGGGACCACCAAUUCGCCCCGCUUUUUUGACGACGUCGACUCUCGCACCUUCUCACCAACCUGUGGGGCCCGAAUCAUGUGAAGCUUGUGAGCAAACCAAUAGCAUCGUGCCACCAUGAUGACAAU
This 267-nucleotide long non-coding RNA is filed under the name Elaeis guineensis (African oil palm). Its description in RNAcentral is "long non-coding RNA (EGUI_LNC076823)". The record is from RNAcentral. Lineage: Eukaryota; Viridiplantae; Streptophyta; Magnoliopsida; Arecales; Arecaceae.